Molecule: ribosomal RNA, 494 nt
Filed under: uncultured bacterium
Lineage: Bacteria
Description: partial 16S ribosomal RNA
Rfam family: Bacterial small subunit ribosomal RNA
Source: RNAcentral
GACGAACGCUGGCGGCAUGCCUAAUACAUGCAAGUCGAACGAUGAUAUCACUGCUUGCAGUGAUUGAUUAGUGGCGAACGGGUGAGUAACACGUGAGGAACUUGCCCAUGAGCGGGGGACAACAUUCGGAAACGGAUGCUAAUACCCCAUAGGUGGAUUGGUCGCAUGACGAAUUCAUUAAAGGUGGCUUUGCUACCACUCAUGGAUAGCCUCGCGGCGUAUUAGCUAGUUGGUAAGGUAAUGGCUUACCAAGGCAUUGAUACGUAGCCGACUUGAGAGGGUGAUCGGCCACACUGGGACUGAGACACGGCCCAGACUCCUACGGGAGGCAGCAGUAGGGAAUCUUCCACAAUGGGUGCAAACCUGAUGGAGCAAUGCCGCGUGAGUGAAGAAGGUCUUCGGAUCGUAAAGCUCUGUUGUUAGAGAAGAACACGUGCUAGGUAACUACUAGCGCCUUGACGGUAUCUAACCAGAAAGUCACGGCUAACUACGUG